RNAcentral lists this long non-coding RNA (548 nucleotides) under Phoenix dactylifera (date palm). RNAcentral describes it as "long non-coding RNA (PDAC_LNC009022)". The record is from RNAcentral. Lineage: Eukaryota; Viridiplantae; Streptophyta; Magnoliopsida; Arecales; Arecaceae.
GAUGCGGUUGGAUCCACUAGACCGCCUCGGACUGACUCAUUUGGUUAUUUUUGCUUUUGAGUCCUUGAUAUUAAUUUUAUUUCAGCAUAGCCUUGCUCGGGCUAGCCGACUUGGCCUUUAUUAGAGUCGCUUUGGGUUUAGUUGUUUCUUGAAUUUAAUUAGAUCAAGUCAAGUUAAGGGGUCAGGUAGCCACCUAUAAAUAGAUGUGGUGAGCACCUAUUUCAGCAUGCAAAAAUUGAUUGAAAGGCUUUUGCCCUAACUCUCUUCCCUUCUCUCUUCUCUUCUUGCGACGCCUUCCUCCUCUCCCUAGGCCGCCGCCCCCUCCUUCAUCCGGCUGCACCACCUAUGUCCCGAGAGGCCAGCCACCUCCUCCCUCUUCUUCCUCCCCUCCUUGAUCCCUUCCACCUUCUACAAACAACUCCUUCCCGUUGGAUUUUCAGCCCGUCCUUCCCUGCGCAGUCAUCAGUCGGAGGCUGAUAUCUUAAGAUCCCGACGUCAUCUCUAGACCCACGACCUACCGCUGGAAAGCUAACACAGAGAUCUACAAC